Molecule: non-coding RNA, 519 nt
Organism: Cinara cedri
Lineage: Eukaryota; Metazoa; Arthropoda; Insecta; Hemiptera; Aphididae
Source: the annotation of a GenBank genome assembly
CUUCUUCGUCCCUUAUUUUGAAAAUGUCAUUAAUUGGUUUUCUAGAGAAGAAUAUGUUUCAUAAACAAAACUAAACAAUUUUAAUAGAAUAGACCAAAUGAUAAAUAUUAAAAAAAAAUUGUAGGCACUUUAGAUGUAGACAUUAAGUUUUUAAUUUUAAUCUUUUAAGUUAGUAUGUUAUCCAGUCAGUAUUAGCUCAAGCCAUGGCCAUAACUACCCUGACAGUAAUAACUGCGCAUCUUUAUGGUUAAGUAUUUUGGAAUGUAGUUUUCACCAAAUAAUUAGUAAGGCCUAAGAAAUCCUCUGUUGAUUUUCAGUACAAUUGAUGAAAACUUAUAGUUGUUUUAUUCGUUGGGAACUUAUGCUGCUAUGAUACUCCAGUUUGUAUAGAUUUAUUUUUGAUACAUCUUAUACUUACCUACAUAUUUAUUUUUUUUUAUUUUUUAGUACUAUGGCUACAGAGACUAAAUUGGAUGUAUGUUUAAAUCAUUUUAUAACCAACAAUGAAGUACACAUUUG